GGAGGAUUGAAUAACAUACCUUAACCAGGCUGGAGAUUUCAUAGUGUGUCCUCUCCCACCUCUAUUCUGCAGAUGGCAGGAGAAAGGUGUCAUCUGGAGGCAGCACGAUGGGAGACGACAUGAAGUUGUCGAUCUUCAUCCCUCUCUGAGGUGCAAGGGAUCAACACCGGCUUCAACUUUAAAGGUCCUGACUGAGAGCACCGCGUUUGUUGCCAGUCUGGGGAACUGAUCUUUCCAAUGACAUACGACGUGACCCUCAAGUCUUGACAGUUGAG
This 275-nucleotide long non-coding RNA is filed under the name Calidris pugnax (ruff). RNAcentral's name for it is "lncRNA (ENSCPUG00000009773.1)". The record is from RNAcentral. Lineage: Eukaryota; Metazoa; Chordata; Aves; Charadriiformes; Scolopacidae.